CUAGCGACUUCAGAGUUUGAUCCUGGCUCAGGACGAACGCUGGCGGCGUGCCUAACACAUGCAAGUCAACGGGGCACCUUCGGGUGCUUAGUGGCGAACGGGUGAGUAACGCGUGAGAAACCUGCCUUUCAUGGGGGGCAACAGUUGGAGACGACUGCUAAUACCGCAUAAUGUCAUUUGGGGGCAUCCUCGAAUGACCAAAGAUUUAUUGCUGAAAGAUGGUCUCGCGUCUGAUUAGCUAGAUGGCGGGUAACGGCCCACCAUGGCGACGAUCAGUAGCCGGUCUGAGAGGAUGAACGGCCACAUUGGGACUGAGAUACGGCCCAG
Molecule: ribosomal RNA, 327 nt
Filed under: uncultured bacterium
Lineage: Bacteria
Description: bacterial SSU rRNA
Rfam family: Bacterial small subunit ribosomal RNA
Source: RNAcentral